AUACGGAGGGUGCAAGCGUUACUCGGAAUCACUGGGCGUAAAGCGCGCGCAGGCGGCCUGAUAAGUUGGAUGUGAAAGCCUACGGCUCAACCGUAGAACUGCAUCCAAAACUGUCAGGCUAGGGUGUGGGAGAGGAAGAUGGAAUUAGUUGUGUAGGGGUAAAAUCCGUAGAGAUAACUAGGAAUACCAAAAGCGAAGGCAAUCUUCUGGAACACUACUGACGCUGAGGCGCGAAGGCGUGGGGAGCAAACAGGAUUAGAAACCCGGGUAGUCC
This 274-nucleotide ribosomal RNA is filed under the name uncultured bacterium. RNAcentral describes it as "partial 16S ribosomal RNA". It matches the Rfam family "Bacterial small subunit ribosomal RNA", at positions 523 to 796 of the family's 1533-position model. The record is from RNAcentral.